CCCUUAGAUGUUCUGGGCCGCACGCGCGCUACACUGAUGCAUUCAACGAGUCUAAAACCUGCUCUGAUAGGGGUGGGUAAUCUUUUGAAUGUGCAUCGUGAUUGGGAUAGAUGAUUGCAAUUUUUCAUCUUCAACGAGGAAUGCCUAGUAAGCGCAAGUCAUCAGCUUGCGUUGAUUACGUCCCUGCCCUUUGUACACACCGCCCGUCGCUCCUACCGAUUGAAUGGUCCGGUGAAGCGUUCGGACCGUGGCCUUUGGACGGUUCGCCGUCUGUUGGCUGCGGGAAGUUCGUUAAACCUUAUCAUUUAGAGGAAGGAGAAGUCGUAACA
This 329-nucleotide ribosomal RNA is filed under the name uncultured eukaryote. RNAcentral's name for it is "partial 18S ribosomal RNA". It matches the Rfam family "Eukaryotic small subunit ribosomal RNA", at positions 1470 to 1796 of the family's 1831-position model. The record is from RNAcentral.